RNAcentral lists this transfer RNA (64 nucleotides) under Cavia porcellus (domestic guinea pig). It matches the Rfam family "tRNA". Rfam says of the family: Transfer RNA (tRNA) molecules are approximately 80 nucleotides in length. Lineage: Eukaryota; Metazoa; Chordata; Mammalia; Rodentia; Caviidae. The record is from Rfam by way of RNAcentral.
AGGGAUUUAGCUCAGCGGCAUAAGCGCCUGGCUUGCAAACAGGCGGUCGUGAGUUCAAUCCCUG